This 484-nucleotide ribosomal RNA is filed under the name uncultured bacterium. RNAcentral's name for it is "partial 16S ribosomal RNA". It matches the Rfam family "Bacterial small subunit ribosomal RNA", at positions 30 to 507 of the family's 1533-position model. The record is from RNAcentral.
AUUGAACGCUGGCGGCAGGCCUAACACAUGCAAGUCGAGCGGAUGAAGGGAGCUUGCUCCUGGAUUCAGCGGCGGACGGGUGAGUAAUGCCUAGGAAUCUGCCUGGUAGUGGGGGAUAACGUCCGGAAACGGGCGCUAAUACCGCAUACGUCCUGAGGGAGAAAGUGGGGGAUCUUCGGACCUCACGCUAUCAGAUGAGCCUAGGUCGGAUUAGCUAGUUGGUGGGGUAAAGGCCUACCAAGGCGACGAUCCGUAACUGGUCUGAGAGGAUGAUCAGUCACACUGGAACUUAGACACGGUCCAGGCUCCUACGGGAGGCAGCAGUGGGGAAUAUUGGACAGUGGGCGAAAGCCUGAUCCAGCCAUGCCGCGUGUGUGAAGAAGGUCUUCGGAUUGUAAAGCACUUUAAGUUGGGAGGAAGGGCAGUAAGUUAAUACCUUGCUGUUUUGACGUUACCAACAGAAUAAGCACCGGCUAACUUCGUG